AACAAUGUCAGUCGACUGGUAGCGGUAGAAACAGCAGUAGAAGCGCGUUUUCUCCAAGAUGUUGGCGAUUUCCUUUCUUGUUUUGUUUAGGUUCUUUUGUCUGUCUUUGUUCGUUUUAUGAACAAUUGGACGGGUAGGGUUGUGUAGGUCCGUGGUCUUUACUCAGGUUUUCUUGCGUUUGCGAUUUUACGGUGGUGGAGUUGCUGUUCCUCUCCAUUCUCGAUGAUUUUUGUCAUUUUGCGUGGAAAGGGUGAUAGGAUCUUGUCAGGUCUCAACACCGGCUUUCAGGCGGUGACAGCUUCAAGCGGUGCCUUUUGUUUCUUUUUCUAUUUU
RNAcentral lists this long non-coding RNA (333 nucleotides) under Gossypium raimondii (Peruvian cotton). RNAcentral describes it as "long non-coding RNA (GRAI_LNC009426)". Lineage: Eukaryota; Viridiplantae; Streptophyta; Magnoliopsida; Malvales; Malvaceae. The record is from RNAcentral.